AAGUCGUAACAAGGUUUCCGUAGGUGAACCUGCGGAAGGAUCAUUAAUGAUUUGGCGAACCGAGCGUUAGCGAGGUUUUGCGAUCAACUUGUAUUUAAAACCCAACUCUAUAUAAUAUUUAUACAUAAUUUUUAAUGAUAAAAUUAAAGAUCACUUUCAACAACGGAUCUCUUGGCUCUC
Molecule: unclassified non-coding RNA, 180 nt
Filed under: Dominikia disticha
Lineage: Eukaryota; Fungi; Glomeromycota; Glomeromycetes; Glomerales; Glomeraceae
Description: partial internal transcribed spacer region
Rfam family: Eukaryotic small subunit ribosomal RNA (bases 1-46)
Source: RNAcentral